UGGGGAAUAUUGGACAAUGGGCGCAAGCCUGAUCCAGCCAUGCCGCGUGAGUGAUGAAGGCCCUAGGGUUGUAAAGCUCUUUCACCGGUGAAGAUAAUGACGGUAACCGGAGAAGAAGCCCCGGCUAACUUCGUGCCAGCAGCCGCGGUAAUACGAAGGGGGCUAGCGUUGUUCGGAUUUACUGGGCGUAAAGCGCACGUAGGCGGACUUUUAAGUCAGGGGUGAAAUCCCGGGGCUCAACCCCGGAACUGCCUUUGAUACUGGAAGUCUUGAGUAUGGUAGAGGUGAGUGGAAUUCCGAGUGUAGAGGCGAAAUUCGUAGAUAUUCGGAGGAACACCAGUGGCGAAGGCGGCUCACUGGACCAUUACUGACGCUGAGGUGCGAAAGCGUGGGGAGCAAACAGG
Molecule: ribosomal RNA, 404 nt
Filed under: Pseudomonas sp.
Lineage: Bacteria; Pseudomonadati; Pseudomonadota; Gammaproteobacteria; Pseudomonadales; Pseudomonadaceae
Also listed under: 3 other names
Description: partial 16S ribosomal RNA
Rfam family: Bacterial small subunit ribosomal RNA
Source: RNAcentral